CCUUGAAGACAUUGAAUGAAACCUGUUCUUCUCCAAAUCUCAGUAUCAAUUGCCCAUUCUGAACGUCGAUCAAAGCUCUGCCUGUGGCUAAGAAUGGUCUACCCAGUAUUAAAGGAACAUCUUUAUCCUCUUCCAUAUCCAGAAUCAGAAAGUCUGCUGGGAAUAUGAACUUCUCCACUUUAACCAACACGUCUUCAAUUAUUCCUCGUGGAUGUGUUAAUGAUCUGUCGGCC
Molecule: long non-coding RNA, 233 nt
Filed under: Olea europaea (common olive)
Lineage: Eukaryota; Viridiplantae; Streptophyta; Magnoliopsida; Lamiales; Oleaceae
Description: long non-coding RNA (OEUR_LNC009263)
Source: RNAcentral